CAGCCUACGGGACGCAGCAGUGAGGAAUAUUGGUCAAUGGGAGGGAUCCUGAACCAGCCAAGUCGCGUGAGGGAUGACGGUCCUAUGGAUUGUAAACCUCUUUUGUCGGGGAGCAAGGCCCGCCACGUGUGGCGGGAAGGAGAGUACCCGAAGAAAAAGCAUCGGCUAACUCCGUGCCAGCAGCCGCGGUAAUACGGAGGAUGCGAGCGUUAUCCGGAUUUAUUGGGUUUAAAGGGUGCGUAGGCGGAAGGUUAAGUCAGCGGUCAAAUGUCGGUGCUCAACACCGGCCUGCCGUUUAAACGGGG
This 305-nucleotide ribosomal RNA is filed under the name uncultured bacterium. RNAcentral describes it as "bacterial SSU rRNA". It matches the Rfam family "Bacterial small subunit ribosomal RNA", at positions 334 to 637 of the family's 1533-position model. The record is from RNAcentral.